RNAcentral lists this ribosomal RNA (234 nucleotides) under uncultured bacterium. Its description in RNAcentral is "partial 16S ribosomal RNA". It matches the Rfam family "Bacterial small subunit ribosomal RNA", at positions 100 to 334 of the family's 1533-position model. The record is from RNAcentral.
CGGGACGGGUGAGUAACGCGUGGAUAACCUGCCUCACACAGGGGGACAACAGCCGGAAACGGCUGCUAAUACCGCAUAACACAAGUAAUUCGCAUGAAUAACUUGCCAAAGAUUUUAUCGGUGCGAGAUGGAUCCGCGUCUGAUUAGCCAGUUGGCGGGGUAACGGCCCACCAAGCACGAUCAGUAGCCGCCUGAGAGGGUGACCGGCCACAUUGGGACUGAGACACGGCCCAA